This 72-nucleotide transfer RNA is filed under the name Camelus bactrianus (Bactrian camel). It matches the Rfam family "tRNA". From Rfam's summary of the family: Transfer RNA (tRNA) molecules are approximately 80 nucleotides in length. Their secondary structure includes four short double-helical elements and three loops (D, anti-codon, and T loops). Further hydrogen bonds mediate the characteristic L-shaped molecular structure. tRNAs have two regions of fundamental functional importance: the anti-codon, which is responsible for specific mRNA codon recognition, and the 3' end, to which the tRNAs corresponding amino acid is attached (by aminoacyl-tRNA synthetases). tRNAs cope with the degeneracy of the genetic code in two manners: having more than one tRNA (with a specific anti-codon) for a particular amino acid; and 'wobble' base-pairing, i.e. permitting non-standard base-pairing at the 3rd anti-codon position. The record is from Rfam by way of RNAcentral. Lineage: Eukaryota; Metazoa; Chordata; Mammalia; Artiodactyla; Camelidae. RNAcentral also lists the same sequence under 2 other names.
GAUGGUAUAGCUUAGUGGUGGAGCACCUGCUUAGCAUGCAUGAGGUCGUGGGUUCAAUCCCCAGUACCGGCA